Lemur catta (Ring-tailed lemur) is the source of this 290-nucleotide long non-coding RNA. RefSeq lists it as uncharacterized. The transcript is spliced from 3 exons. NCBI's taxonomy places the organism in Eukaryota, Metazoa, Chordata, Mammalia, Primates, Lemuridae. The record is from RefSeq and is a predicted model, not a curated record.
CUCCUGACCUCAAGUGAUCCUGCCUCUUCGGCCUCCCAGAGUGCUAGGAUUACAAGUGUGAGCCACCGCACCCGACCUCUUAUCAAGCUUUUGAACAGACCCAGUAAAGAAGGGAGGGAUCCCCCCGAAGUAGACCCCUGUGACAAAGAUUUGAAUGCAAAUAACGGCAUGCCUUGAAGAUACUGCGGGCUCAGUGUCAGAAUACCACAAUAAAGUCUGCCGAGAUGAACUUAUUUCAAUGAAGCCAUUACUGAGAAGUAUUGGGAGAGCUCCAGAAAAAUCAGAAGUAG